UUGGAACUUGUGAUCCUCCUGCCUCAGCCUCCUGAGCUGCUAGGAUUACAGGCAUGUACCACUACACCCAGCCAAAAAAAUAUUUUUAAGGCAAGUAGUUGCACCAGCAAUGAGUGAAAACACAUUGUCACUUAGGUUAUCACAGUAGCACAAGAGUUCCCUCUUUCCCUCACCUUGCUUUUUUUUUUCCCUUAUAGGUUUUUGCCUUGUUUGUUCUUUUUGUUUGGAUAACAAUACUGUGUUUAAAGUCCCUUACUAUCAUUGUAGUGGAGUUUCAGGCAGAGCAAAAAUACUCCUCCUCCUCUUAUCUCUGCUUCUCCUAUACUUGGGUUUCAUUCCCCUUUAGCAGGUCCAGAUUUCUUAUUAUGACAGCAGCAUGACCCCUGACUGAUCCAGAGAUUCAUCUUCCAUCCAACACUCAGAUUCCCUCCCUAGCCCCAAAUGCUAAAAUUCCAGAGAAGAUACUGAAUGUUCCAACUAACAUUGUAUGAACUUACUUGAGGACCUGGUCAAUGCUUAAGACUAGGGAAUAGUCCCAAAGACUUCCUUUACAGUGACUUGGCCAAAUCAGUAUGAUGGUGAUAGAUUUGAGAAAUAAAACUGAAAAGAUAAGGACUCAGUACCUUACUAUAACUGCUAAACUGUAAUGUUCAGCCUUUUCUAGUGAUAACAUAAGUGACAAUUUGGAAGCCCUAACAUUUAAAACUGCUCCCUUUCUGCCUCUUCUGCAUAAUCAUUUAUAUAGAUUUGCAUAUGUUAGACUGUGGUUUGUCUUCCUCUUCUGCAUCAGACUUAGGAUCUUUUAUUUUCUGCAAGAGGGCUUUCUUUUCACCCUUCUUAUUCUAAUCUAAAAUGACCAAGAAGAUUGUCUCAUUGAGACAUUCAAAGUCACAGAAUUUUAGGAUGUUAGAGGUAGAAGAGACUUUAAAGAUUUAUGAUUAUCACAAAAAUUUCCUUUGGCAUAAUAACUUCAUGAGUUGCUCCUUUGAAAUAAGGUCUUCAUGGUCAAAUAAGUUUGGUAAGUGCUCCAUACAACUGUGUUCCCUUCCUGGAGAUUCAGAGCAUCUUAGCCUGUUAAGAGUCUGAGAAGUCCAAUAGCAAAGAAAACUGACAAUUUCUUAAAUUUAUUUACUAAGGAACCCUUUUGUCAUCAUAAUCAUGUGAAGUAAUAAUGUUCCAUGGAACAUGCUUUGGGAAAGAAUCCUACCAUCUUAUUUUAAGAAUGAGGAAACUAAAGCUCAUGAAGAGACUGUGGUCAUGAUUUUCCAAAUCUAAGGCCAGGAAGAAUGAGCACUUUCAUCCCGUUGUUGCUGGUGACUUAUGUUGACCAAGUGCUAGAAGUCUUAUGUCUUCCCCACUCCUCCUUAUAUUUAAUUCACUCACUCAUCUGGAACAAAGUUUGUCAUAUUAUCCAAGUAGCUUAGAUAACCGGUAAGGAUUCAGAAACCAAGUCCCCGGGAUUUUCCCUGCACAGAUCAUGGCUAACAGAAGGCUUCUUCAGAUCCUGAAAACCAUAAUAUCUAAAAGGAAUACAAGACAGAUACCUCCUUUCAGGCAUUGACUGUCCAAAAGAAUGAAGGAGGAGGAGUAGGCCAGUGUUUGGGCCAGCCUUGGACCCAGGUGCCCUGACCUCUAGGACCUGCCAGCAACUCUUCAGAGAGCGGAUAUGGGAAACAGCCUGGUUUUUCUUUUGCCCUUCCUCAUGUUCCACCAUCUCUUGCCAAAAUCAUAGCCCAACCACAGAUUACAUCAUCCAGCAACUUCCCAUACUGUACACAUAACUGGAAAAAGCAGGGCACAGAAAGAAACCAAAAAGAGACCAAACACUUUUAGGGCUGCCAGUCUGGGAAAAACACAUUGGAACUUUUUCUCCUACCCUACAGCCUGACUUAAGACUUGUUUCUCCCUCAGAGAAUAAUUAUGCUGAUAAUCUGAUGGGCCUCUAGGUUGCAAAACCCUUGUAUCUUUGUUCCAUUCACUGGAAGGGAUGAGUCCUGACUAAGUAUACCCUCCUUGAGGUGACACAGGAUUAUCUCCCAGAUUGAUGCUCCAGAGACUGUUCCAGCUCAUUGCUCAUCAUCAUGUUUGGUUUGCUCAUGGCUAAUGUGGUCCAAAUAAAUGCCUUGGCCUCCAA
Molecule: non-coding RNA, 2134 nt
Organism: Ictidomys tridecemlineatus (thirteen-lined ground squirrel)
Lineage: Eukaryota; Metazoa; Chordata; Mammalia; Rodentia; Sciuridae
Source: RefSeq, a predicted model, not a curated record